GCCCUUCCCUGGAAAGGCCCGAGGCUCUGUGUGGAAGGAGAUAAGAUGCCACAGCUUCCAGGAGACCUGCAUUAGCCAGAGCGAUGUCAGACACACUGUGUCCGGCACGAAGGCCCUCACCCAGGUGGAGGAUGGUGACUCCAUGCUGAGACCCCAGACUUCUGUUAGAACCUUCCUAAGCAUGGACUUGCAGAGCUGAAAGGAAGAGAGAGGAUGUGGACAGCGGCAAAGUAUUGAGAAGAGGAAGUCAUUUUACAGUUGCCGCAGCUGCUACUGAAUUUAGAUUGGAAAAAUGAUUUGCGCGAGCAAAGUGGAGAUCAGGACCUGGGUGAUCUGUCUGCUUUGAGCUGGUUGCAGGCAUUCCAUGUCUUCUGUUGGAAGCUGCUGAGACUACCAGACGGAGGCAUCUAGACUUCACAAUGCGGCUUUGCCUUCCCUGGGAGCUCUCGGUCUUGCAGUAGAAAGAGAAUGGAUGGAUAUUGUUGUGCCGUUCAGUAACUUCUGCGUCUCACUUGGCCAGCUCUGCCUUGAGUCAGUAAGCAUUUAAACCCUGGUGGCGCAGUGGUUAAGAAUACACCUGCCAAUGCAGGGAACACAGGUUCGAGCCCUGGUCCAGGAAGAUCCCACAUGCCGCGGAGCAACUAAGUCCA
Aethalodelphis obliquidens (Pacific white-sided dolphin) is the source of this 650-nucleotide long non-coding RNA. RefSeq lists it as uncharacterized. Lineage: Eukaryota; Metazoa; Chordata; Mammalia; Artiodactyla; Delphinidae. The transcript is spliced from 6 exons. The record is from RefSeq and is a predicted model, not a curated record.